Molecule: unclassified non-coding RNA, 292 nt
Filed under: uncultured Ascomycota
Lineage: Eukaryota; Fungi; Ascomycota
Description: sequence contains ITS1
Rfam family: 5.8S ribosomal RNA (bases 1-105)
Source: RNAcentral
GAAAUGCGAUAAGUAAUGUGAAUUGCAGAAUUCAGUGAAUCAUCGAAUCUUUGAACGCACAUUGCGCCCUCUGGUAUUCCGGGGGGCAUGCCUGUUCGAGCGUCAUUACAACCCUCAAGCUCUGCUUGGUGUUGGGCGGUACCGCGCGCGGUACGCCUCAAACGUAGUGGCGGCGCCGUUCGGCUCCUAGCGUAGUAACAACUCUCGCUAUGGGGACCGGGCGGUUGCCUGCCAGCGACCCACACUUUUAAAGGUUGACCUCGGAUCAGGUAGGGAUACCCGCUGAACUUAA